AGCAGCCGCGGUAAUUCCAGCUCCAAUAGCGUAUAUUAAAGUUGUUGCAGUUAAAAAGCUCGUAGUUGAAUUUCGAGACCGGUCUACUGGUCGUGCUUUUGUACGUACUGGUAUAAUCGGUUUCUCUCUUCUGACGAACUAUAAUGCCAUUAAUUUGGUGUUUUAGGGAAUCAGGACUGUUACUUUGAAAAAUUAGAGUGUUUAAAGCAGGCUCACGCUUGAAUACAUUAGCAUGGAAUAACGAAAUAGGACGUUUGAUUCUAUUUUGUUGGUUUCUAGGAUCGACGUAAUGAUUAAUAGGGAUAGUUGGGGGCAUUAGUAUUCAAUUGUCAGAGGUGAAAUUCUUGGAUUUAUUGAAGACUAACUACUGCGAAAGCAUUUGCCAAGGAUGUUUUCAUUAAUCAAGAACGAAAGUUAGGGGAUCGAAGACGAUCAGAUACCGUCGUAGUCUUAACCAUAAAUUAUGCCGACUAGGGAUCGGAUGAUGUUAAAUUAAUGACUCA
RNAcentral lists this ribosomal RNA (503 nucleotides) under uncultured Glomeraceae. RNAcentral describes it as "SSU rRNA". It matches the Rfam family "Eukaryotic small subunit ribosomal RNA", at positions 569 to 1078 of the family's 1831-position model. Lineage: Eukaryota; Fungi; Glomeromycota; Glomeromycetes; Glomerales; Glomeraceae. The record is from RNAcentral.